AUGAACGCUGGCGGCGUGCCUAAUACAUGCAAGUCGAGCGUACAGACGAGGAGCUUGCUCCUCUGACGUUAGCGGCGGACGGGUGAGUAACACGUGGAUAACCUACCUAUAAGACUGGGAUAACUUCGGGAAACCGGAGCUAAUACCGGAUAAUAUAUUGAACCGCAUGGAUCAAUAGUGAAAGACGGUUUUGCUGUCACUUAUAGAUGGAUCCGCGCCGCAUUAGCUAGUUGGUAAGGUAACGGCUUACCAAGGCAACGAUGCGUAGCCGACCUGAGAGGGUUACCUGCUACCCUUGAACUUAGACACGGUCCAGACUCUUACGGUAUGCAGCAGUACAGACUCUUCCGUAAUGGGCCAAAGCCUGACGGGGCAAUGCCGCGUGAGUGAUGAAGGUCUUCGGAUCGUAAUGCUCUGUUAUUAGUGGAAAACACAUUUGUAAGUAACUAUGCACGUCUUGCCGGUACCUAGUCAGAAAGCCACGGCUAUCUACGUG
Molecule: ribosomal RNA, 496 nt
Filed under: uncultured bacterium
Lineage: Bacteria
Description: partial 16S ribosomal RNA
Rfam family: Bacterial small subunit ribosomal RNA
Source: RNAcentral